CAAACAGUCCCAGGUUAAAUUAAAUUAGUUUGAUUAUAUGUUAAUCUAUCUUUAAUUUUGUAUUUAUGUAUUUAUUAAUUCAUAUUUGGGACCUAUUACACAUUUACAAUUCACAACUUAAAUCCCACCGUUCUCUAGGCCCAUUGUAUAUAUGUAUUUGUAUUUAUUCAGAUUUCGAACCCAUUGCACAUUACCAUUAACUCCUUAACCAACCAUUUUUGUUUUAUUACCCUUAUCACUGCCAAUCUUAUUUUGUUAACUACUUGUUCGUUUACCUCAGCCCCACACCCCCUCAACCAAUAGCAUCAAAGCAUUUAUACUACCUCACCCCAUCUCUCCUACCCUGUUUUCUACGGUCCGGCCUGCUUUCACCUCCUAACCGUCGUACAGCGACAUCAUUGUUGAAACUGUCGUCAUGGCUGCAUCUAGUGCAUCAAAUUCGCGCUCGUCCGAGCCCAUCAGUAGGGAGACUCUGCCAGCUGCAUGUAACAAUUGUAACUUAAGUUACAAAGAAUUCUCUGCCUAUUACUCAGGCAAUUAUGACCGGCUCAUCAAGUUAUGUCAGGACCACGCCCUCCUGAGAAAGCAGGUCUUUUGCCCCCAUUGUGGGAACGAGUGCCGUUUAGAUUUGCAGAGGAAGAGCUUCAGGUAAAUUCCUUACAUCAUGUUUGUUGGUUUCUACGUGUAACCGUAAUAUGUUUCACCCCUAGAUUAGUGUAAAUAUUAGAUUUCAUCUAUACCAUUUAUGGCCUACUCCAUAUUUUCAUGUUUUGAGGUUUUUAAUUGGUAUUUUUCUUUCCACAUUUUCUCUUAGGUGUGACCAGUCUUAUAGGCCUUACAGUCAGAAGGCGAAGAAGCGUUGUUCGUACUUCUUCUCAUCAUUUAAUGGCACUUGGUUUUCUGGGUCCCAUCUUGAUGUCGAGACCGUUCCGUUCUUUGCAUACCUGUAUGCGAGUGAUUUUUUUCUUACAAGGUUGCGAGAACAGAACUUGGACUGUCGGACACAACCAUUAAUGAUUGGGCCAGCUUCUCCCGGGAAGUCAUAGUUAAUUGGUGCAUCCAACAGAAGAAACAAAUUGGUGGGCCCGGUACAACUGUUGAAAUCGAUGAGGCGAAAUUCGGAAGGCGGAAAUACAACGCAGGUCGCGUCAUCGAAGGACAGUGGGCGUUCGGUGGUAUCUGUAGGCAGACCCAAGAGUUCUUCGUUGUUCCUGUUCCCGAUAGGACUAGUGGGACUCUGCUUGCAGUUAUCAAAGUAUACAUUGUCCCGGGGACCACUAUUAUUUCAGACUGUUGGAGGGCUUAUGACUGCCUGGGAGACGAAGGGUACGUCCAUUUGACAGUCAACCACUCGAUCAACAUUGUGGACUCAGUAACCGGUGCCCAUACUAAUACAAUAGAGAGGAGGUGGAGGGAACUCCGGGAGUCGACUCCGAGAUACUGGCGGCGUAUGUACAACUUCGUCGGGUACUUGGCUGUCGCGUAUUUCAAGUUACAUUUUCAAGACCCCAAGACCCGACUCCAUGCCUUCAUAAAGCAGCUGCUGCUUUCUACCCUCUACCCCUUUAAGAUACAGAUGUGGCACAUCGGGCAACUGGUCCAGUGUCGAGAGUUCUUGUUCAAAAUUGGUUGAAGUAUGUUCAAAAUGAAGAUGAAUAACAGACUUAGUGACUGCAUUGCAGUCUUCCGUAAGGGUAUUUGGAUGAAGCUACCGUUGUGUAAUAGUUGGAUGGAAAGGAAAUUGCCUGGGAAUUUUUUAAGGUCAGCUGAAAGACUGAUGAGAAAUUUAUAGAUUACUGAGUGGGAUUGUGAACAGUAUGGCAAGAGCAGCCACUUAGAACCUGCCUUGCAGCUGCCAGUUCCAAUGAGAGGCAGUAAAUGUAUUCACUGACUGUUGGUGAAUGAUGUGGAAACGUGCUAUUGCUGCAGGAGUCUAUUUGAGGAGGGCCAGCUGCUACUGGAACCUCUGCCAGGCAACAUAAUGUUUAGACUGCAACGGGAGUCUGAGAAAGUAUCUUGUUACGGGAGUCCCUUCCUGCCAGGGUUUUAGGUAUGAAUGCUACACCGCAGGUGGAGUCGCUGUUAAGAAGGCCACUUGACAUUAAGAGUGGUGUGCUUGCCAGGGUCAUUAUCUGAAACCCAUUGCUGCAAAAGCUCUCUCUGAAAAAUAUUGAAGACCUCUCCUCCCUGGGAUUAAGUUAUGAAUGCUGCUACUUAAGGUGUUUUUGAGAAAGGCCAGGCUAGCUGUGAUAUUGGAGUUACAAUUACUUCUCGCUGUUAUGGGAGUUAAGACUAUUAAUGCCCGAUGUGAUUAGUUAUUUAAACUACUGCCCACUGUGAUAAGCUAUGAUUGACUAGUACUGUCAGUUUUAAUAUUGAAUUAGUAUUGCCGACUGGAUUAACAAAAUAACACAUCUGGCAAUAGUAUAUAUUUCUAGUACCAUAGCAGCAGAUUCUGGUAGUGAGGAAGGGCAGUGGAGGGACUUUCAAAAGUGCAAGAAGGAGAUUAAGGCAACAUAUUGAUGCAAGAUUUUUUAAUGGUAACAAUGAAGGGUUUAUUUCAAGCAUGUCCUUUUUU
This is a long non-coding RNA of Macrobrachium nipponense, 2578 nucleotides long. RefSeq lists it as uncharacterized. Lineage: Eukaryota; Metazoa; Arthropoda; Malacostraca; Decapoda; Palaemonidae. The record is from RefSeq and is a predicted model, not a curated record. The transcript has 5 exons.